GAUGAAGAACGCAGCGAAAUGCGAUAAGUAAUGCGAAUUGCAGAAUUUCCGUGAGUCAUCGAAUCUUUGAACGCACAUUGCGCCCAUUGGUAUUCCGAUGGGCAUGCCUGUUCGAGCGUCAUUAUCCUCCCUCAAACCUCGGGUUUGGUGUUGGACCCAAGUUGUGCGAUGAACAACUGGUCUAAAAAACAAUGACGGCGUCCGUGGGACCCUCGGUGCAACGAGCUUUUAGGAGCACGCGCCGAGUUGCAAGGACCUUCCGGGCCGGUCUCCUUUUACUAUUUUACAAGGUUGACCUCGGAUCAGGUAGGAAUACCCGCUGAACUUAAGCAUAUCAUAAGCGGAGGA
Molecule: unclassified non-coding RNA, 348 nt
Filed under: soil metagenome
Description: partial contains 5.8S ribosomal RNA, internal transcribed spacer 2, and large subunit ribosomal RNA
Rfam family: 5.8S ribosomal RNA (bases 1-121)
Source: RNAcentral